GACGUAGGGGGCCAGCGUUGCUCGGAAUUACUGGGCGUAAAGGGUUCGUAGGCGGUGCGGCAAGUCGGGAGUGAAAUCUCUGGGCUUAACUCGGAGGCUGCUUCCGAAACUGCCGUGCUCGAGUGCGGGAGAGGCCAGUGGAAUUGCAGGUGUAGCGGUGAAAUGCGUAGAUAUCUGCAGGAACACCCGUGGCGAAGGCGGCUGGCUGGACCGCAACUGACGCUGAGGCGCGAAAGCUAGGGGAGCAAACAGG
RNAcentral lists this unclassified non-coding RNA (253 nucleotides) under uncultured Terriglobia bacterium. RNAcentral describes it as "uncultured Acidobacteriia bacterium contains 16S-23S intergenic spacer region". It matches the Rfam family "Bacterial small subunit ribosomal RNA", at positions 524 to 776 of the family's 1533-position model. The record is from RNAcentral. Lineage: Bacteria; Pseudomonadati; Acidobacteriota; Terriglobia.